Molecule: long non-coding RNA, 1474 nt
Organism: Equus quagga
Lineage: Eukaryota; Metazoa; Chordata; Mammalia; Perissodactyla; Equidae
Exons: 4
Source: RefSeq, a predicted model, not a curated record
AAACUCGAACCCCUCCCCCCCACCAUGUGAUGGAAGCAGCUAUUUCACCACAGAAUGUUGUCUUCUCAUCACACGUCCAAUUCACGUGUACUGGGCACCAAUUGUAUGACAGGUGCUGGGCAGGCUCGGAGGAUACAGGACAGACAGGGCCAACGGAAUCCGUGUCCAUCCCGAGUUUAGGUCACCACACAGCUGGUGUGUCAGGAUUCAGAAGGCCCCCCAACGCCCCCCAGCCUCGAGACCCUGGGCAAACCAGUUAGUGUCGUCGUCUGAACUGGAGAUGAUAGAGUGCUCACAGAGUCACUCUGGAAUAAUGAGGAUCCACACAGGGCCUGUGCUUGGUGGGCUAAGUCAAUCGUGUCGCUCUCCUUGCCCAUGACUGGCUGAGGCUCAGGUCUGGGCGCCAUCCUGGCCAGUGCAUUGUGAAGGCAGAUUUGCGAGGCACCGCUAGGAGGGGGUUUCCCAACUCUAAAACAGGAGGGGGCUCUGCAUUUUCAUUCUGCACUGGACCCUACAAAUGAAGUAGCUGUUCAUGUACACAUCACUUUGAUCAUUUGUGCAGUGUCCACACACCACCGCUUUUUCUCCAGCAUUGAAGUGUACCAUAAAUAAUUAGGAAUGGAACGAAGAACUGACUCCCUGGAACGUCCUGCCUACGCUUCUCCGCCUGCCUCGUGCUUCAGCCCGUGGGACGGCAGAGCAGAUCAAAGCAUCGGUCCAUUUUACGGUCGGGACCAGUGAGGCUCAGCGAGCGAGAAUCCCAGCCAAACCUGCAAAUAACGUUCCUGCAUAAACAUGAAAUACAGGUCGCUGUGUUGAGCGGCGUUUUCCCAGCGCCACUUCUUCUGGGAUCCUGAGGACCUGGUGGGCCGUCGGGGGUCCUUCCAGAGGUCCGCAGAGGGCACGGGCUCCCUCCGCCACGUGGUGCGGGCUCGGGAGGGAGGGCGGGCUGAGCGCAGGGCGGGGCCCCAUCAGAGGUGGAACCAGCACCGCAGCGUCUCUGUGCGGUACCGUCAGGAAAACCCACGUGAGAGAAAUAAACAUCUGUUUCAAAAUAAACUGCAGCAGCAAGAAGAGAAGCGUUCCUCGAAACCUCACUACCGCUUGGAAUUCGUGCUGAACUUUUUAUAGCUCUGAGAACAAUCCGAUGCCCCAAGAGAAAAGCAUACUAGGUUUUACAGUUUGUUUGUUUACACCACGGAAACCGCUCAAGACCUCUCGUUAAUUUCCUCAUGACGUUUUGUAAUUGCCAAAGCAGGUUGCUUGAAGUGAACCGAAGCCUAAAGGGUUAUAAUAUGUUUUUCUUAUUCAAUAAUAAGGAUCGAAAUAUAUUUUGUAAUUAAAUCUAUUAAAAGCUUAUUAAAUUUGCUUUACAGUUAAGGAAGUCUUUGGGUUUUUGUUUGUUUUUGUUUUUGUUUGAGGAAGACUGGCCCUGAGCUAACAUCCGUGCCCAUCUUCCUCUACUUUAUAUGUG